UGACCAACCUGCCCCUUGCUCUGGGAUAACCCCCGGGGAAACCGGAGCUAAUACCGGAUGCGAGACCGCGCGGCAUCACGCGGUCUGGAAAGUUUUUCGGCAAGGGGAUGGGGUCGCGGCCUAUCAGCUUGUUGGUGGGUAAUGGCCCACCAAGGCGACGACGGGUAGCCGGCCUGAGAGGGUGACCGGCCACACUGGGACUGAGACACGGCCCAGACUCCGUACGGGAGCA
This 232-nucleotide ribosomal RNA is filed under the name uncultured bacterium. Its description in RNAcentral is "partial 16S ribosomal RNA". It matches the Rfam family "Bacterial small subunit ribosomal RNA", at positions 118 to 347 of the family's 1533-position model. The record is from RNAcentral.